AUGAAGUAGUCAAGUAUAUUAUAGGGACCUAUAAGGGCGCCCACAGAAAUUUUUACCAGGAAGUGGGAGUUAGGCGUCCCUAUAUUAUAUAUACAUAUAACAUAUUUAUAUAAUAUAUAGCCAUGACAUAUUAUAUAGUAAAAUAUAGUAUUUUAUACUUUUUUUUAAUUUUAUAAUUUUUUUUAUUUAGUGUAUAACUUAUUACAAACUUCGUAAAAAAACGUAUGAUAUAUCAUAAUAUGAUUAAUUGUAUAUUUUCAUCAAAAUAUUAUGACAUCAAGAGCACUAAAAAAAAUCUUAUAACUCAUUUACUCAUUAUUUAUAUUAUAUUAUUAUAUUGUUAAUUAACUAAUUUUAUAAAAUAUUAAGAUAAUUAUAGUCAUUAUAUAAAAAUUGCAUGCUCCAUACCAAAUAAUUUUAUUGUUUCAUCUGUUACUUGAUUUUUGAAUUUGCACAUACGUUUUGUAGUCCAAUUAAAUUAGCAAAAAGUUCGGUACUAAUUCCCCGAAAGUUGAAUUUUGGUAUAUAUAAGUAGUUUAUACCUCACUUAUAAACAUACCUACUAAAAGUCCUUGACACCUACCCCUUGUGCGUAGUCUAUUCAAAGGAUGACAGCCGCUUUCACUGUUUUCGAUUAUAACUCGUCAGCUUUUCAAGUUACAAUAAAAAUUUAUGACCAAAAUUAAAGACCAUAUUAAUAUAAUAUAAAUUUACCAUAGAAUAAACUUACUUUUUAUAUAAGUAUUUAUGUUGCGGUAAGUAUUAUAUUUAAAAAAAAAAAAACCGCUGCUUCUAACAAAAAGCAAGUACAAUUAGCUCGACUUCCUUCAACCAUACCUAUUACCUAUAGAUGUAGCAAAAGAACAUUUCUACAGAAUAUAUUUACAAAUACAGUUGUGGCAUGGUAAUAAAUCAAAUCCAUAGAAUUGAGAAUGGAAAAGAUACAAUAGAAAAUUAAGUCCAGUUUUCACAAAAGAAUCACCAGCACCGUGUACCUACUCUUUUAAAAGUAAUUAGUUCAUAAGUUGUGCUUGCACCAAAACUGUUAACAAAAUUUGUAGCUGUCGAAAAGCGGGAUUGCUAUGUUUUUGGUGAUAUGCAAACAUUGUCAAGAGGGAUCCUGUUUGAAUCAGCAAAUAGCAAUAACCUAUAAUUGAUGACGAAGACGAGCAUAAAUAUUUAUUUGUGUAUAAGAGAGGAGAAAUAAACCAUAAACCAUCAUUACGGAAAAUGAGAUCCACGCAUAAUUUAAUGAAUUAGCUAGGACCUACAAUACAACACAAGAAUCAUUUUUAAAAUUGAAUUUAAUAAUAUAUAGUACUCUGAAUAUUUUUUAAAAAAUGUACAAUUUUUAUUUUUUUCUUAUUUAUUUUAUAAAUUGUAACUAAUAUUUAUUUCAUAAUUAUUAUUUUUUUAUAUUCCAAUUUUAUAAAUAAUAUAUAUGACAAAUAAAAUAAUGUAUUGUUAUAGUAAA
Long non-coding RNA from Rhopalosiphum padi (bird cherry-oat aphid), 1474 nucleotides. RefSeq lists it as uncharacterized. The record is from RefSeq and is a predicted model, not a curated record. Lineage: Eukaryota; Metazoa; Arthropoda; Insecta; Hemiptera; Aphididae. The transcript has 2 exons.